RNAcentral lists this ribosomal RNA (1372 nucleotides) under uncultured bacterium. RNAcentral's name for it is "bacterial SSU rRNA". It matches the Rfam family "Bacterial small subunit ribosomal RNA", at positions 28 to 1381 of the family's 1533-position model. The record is from RNAcentral.
GAUGAACGCUGGCGGCGUGCCUAAUACAUGCAAGUCGAGCGAACGGACGAGAAGCUUGCUUCUCUGAUGUUAGCGGCGGACGGGUGAGUAACACGUGGAUAACCUACCUAUAAGACUGGGAUAACUUCGGGAAACCGGAGCUAAUACCGGAUGAUAUUUUGAACCGCAUGGUUCAAAAGUGAAAGACGGUCUUGCUGUCACUUAUAGAUGGAUCCGCGCUGCAUUAGCUAGUUGGUAAGGUAACGGCUUACCAAGGCAACGAUGCAUAGCCGACCUGAGAGGGUGAUCGGCCACACUGGAACUGAGACACGGUCCAGACUCCUACGGGAGGCAGCAGUAGGGAAUCUUCCGCAAUGGGCGAAAGCCUGACGGAGCAACGCCGCGUGAGUGAUGAAGGUCUUCGGAUCGUAAAACUCUGUUAUUAGGGAAGAACAUAUGUGUAAGUAACUGUGCACAUCUUGACGGUACCUAAUCAGAAAGCCACGGCUAACUACGUGCCAGCAGCCGCGGUAAUACGUAGGUGGCAAGCGUUAUCCGGAAUUAUUGGGCGUAAAGCGCGCGUAGGCGGUUUUUUAAGUCUGAUGUGAAAGCCCACGGCUCAACCGUGGAGGGUCAUUGGAAACUGGAAAACUUGAGUGCAGAAGAGGAAAGUGGAAUUCCAUGUGUAGCGGUGAAAUGCGCAGAGAUAUGGAGGAACACCAGUGGCGAAGGCGACUUUCUGGUCUGUAACUGACGCUGAUGUGCGAAAGCGUGGGGAUCGAACAGGAUUAGAUACCCUGGUAGUCCACGCCGUAAACGAUGAGUGCUAAGUGUUAGGGGGUUUCCGCCCCUUAGUGCUGCAGCUAACGCAUUAAGCACUCCGCCUGGGGAGUACGACCGCAAGGUUGAAACUCAAAGGAAUUGACGGGGACCCGCACAAGCGGUGGAGCAUGUGGUUUAAUUCGAAGCAACGCGAAGAACCUUACCAAAUCUUGACAUCCUUUGACAACUCUAGAGAUAGAGCCUUCCCCUUCGGGGGACAAAGUGACAGGUGGUGCAUGGUUGUCGUCAGCUCGUGUCGUGAGAUGUUGGGUUAAGUCCCGCAACGAGCGCAACCCUUAAGCUUAGUUGCCAUCAUUAAGUUGGGCACUCUAAGUUGACUGCCGGUGACAAACCGGAGGAAGGUGGGGAUGACGUCAAAUCAUCAUGCCCCUUAUGAUUUGGGCUACACACGUGCUACAAUGGACAAUACAAAGGGCAGCGAAACCGCGAGGUCAAGCAAAUCCCAUAAAGUUGUUCUCAGUUCGGAUUGUAGUCUGCAACUCGACCACAUGAAGCUGGAAUCGCUAGUAAUCGUAGAUCAGCAUGCUACGGUGAAUACGUUCCCGGGUCU